UGCGCCUUGUGCAGCGAGCUAGGCUGGAUUGGACUGUCGUGACUCAAGCUGGCGCUGGAACCCUGAAGAAGGGUAAGGAGGGGUCCGUGGGGGAAUUCCUCAAGAACACUCAACUGAGACCCUACUUCUGCGUGGACCUGCCCCCAAGACCGCCCCUACGUAUAUCCACCCCAUCACCCCGGGGCCUCUGAGGUCGCAGAUCAGUGGUCGAAUGCAAACGCACGCGUGCGUCUCCCGUUUGGUGUUGCCGAGUUGUGGUCCGGCGCUCAGAGCUCCCGGUGAUUGGUUCGAGCCAGCAGAUUGUGCUCAGACGGGCCGAAUGGACCACAGUGCGUCCCUUACUACAACAGCAUUGUCUUCCAGGCAGUGGCACCCGGCUCCUGUCUACACAGUGGGUUCUGCCCCAAAGUCAAGGACAGUUGAGGAGCUGCCCCGUGCUCCUGCCAACAGCCAAAGCUACUUGGCCCUGGAUCCCUAGAAGCAGCAUUACCGGAAGGGCAAAGACCUCCCAACCCAGUUCACCCAUGCCAUGCACCUACCAACGACCUGAGGCCAUUAGGAGAGCAGUGGCUGGAGCAGAGUCGGUCCCCUCUCUCUGAGUAGAUGGCCAGCACUUGGAGAGCCCACCGUGGCUCUGGAGUCACACAAAUGGCCUCAGCACUUCUUGCGCAAUGUCAGCUAGUCAGGUGUUCUCAAAUUCUUAUCUCUCAUCCAGAGAGCGCAGUUGUCCACCCUACCCUGGAUUGUAUCACGCCUUACCUUGAGGUAGGAGAGCUAGCUAGAGAAGACUCUAGAAGGAAUAAAUUCCUGUGCAUACCCCACCCUCCUGGUUCUGAUUUUUGUCUCUGGACACAAGGAAUUUCAACACAGUUAACCAGGCCACCUGCAAAAGAACCUUUGAGAAACACCACACACAGGAUGGAUAAAAUGGCCAACGAACUGUGAUAUAAGCCCUAUGUCCCCAUGACUCGUGCAUAAGGGUCCCUUUGGAAGUGUCACUGAAUCGUCUGUUCAGGAGAAAGAUGUCUAUUGACACUCAAUUUUUGUGUUUCCCCGAUGUUUCAUUAAUAUUUGUGGCACCCCUGAGCCCAUGGUUAGUGCCUCAGUUCGUGCCUCCCUGCUGUACGGUGUAAGCAACCACAGUAAAGACCACCCUGAGCUACAUGAGACCCUGUCUCAAAAUAACAGCAAAAAGUGAGCUGGGUGUGCCGGCAUUGGUUUGUAAUCCUGACCCUUCGGGAGGUGGAGAUAGGGUGACUGGUCAAGAUUGAUGCCUCCUCUAAGUACUCUAAACUUCCUGUGGGCCAGGUGCCAAGCUGCUCACUCAUCCAUUCAGACGUUCCAGAGCCUGCCCAGGCACCGUGAGAAACACUCCAGAGGAAGAAACCCAGUGCUCCUUGACUGAAUCUCUAGGCUGCUGCCCUCAGAUGCUGUGCCGCAGGCCAUUUGGAGAAGGCAAAUUUGGAAUGAGUUUAACGGAGGUGGUGCUGAGGGACCGUUUAACACUCAUUUCCCGGGAUGGUAGCAAAGUGCGCUCAUGCCACGUUUCAUUGUUUCCAGACGGUUUCCUUCUACCACUGUUCUCAUCACAGGCAUCUGCCUGGCCCGCGAGUUUGUAACUGAGGAUCAUGCUGAACCAAAGCGGCUGAUGAACCAGGAACCAAAUCCCAAACAAUCCCAGUGGUGCAGAGGAGCCAAGGCUCCGGAUAGCCUCCCAGCCACCCGGAAUCAGGGCAUUUCCUGCUUCUCAGGAGGCUCACAGAACGAGGCAGGCAAGGUAAUUUUAAUAAUGACUUUGUAGGCAGGGCUUCAUCAGGAAUGAAGCCCAAGUCAUCCUACAUGAAUGAGCAUCCCAGGAUGUCUAACAGGAAGCAGGCCUGCUACCAAGGGAUGCAAUCAUGCCCUGCCUGCUGCUGACCCACAUGACGUGGCCAGCCCGAGCCCAGUUGUCAGACCUGUUGUGUGAGCUGAUCAAAGUAGAGACUAUCACAUGAUUCAGUGUGAUCCAGCAUCCUGUCAGACCUGUGUGGGCAAGCAGCCUCCCUAGGCAGAUGUGACCCAGUUGGUAAGUGUAGAAGGAGAGCCACACAUCCCAGCAAGGGUACACACAAUUAGCUGAUUUCUAAGCACACAGCGACAACACUCUUUUUGGGGGGUAGGGGUGGGUAAAUGCUGAAAGAUCAGAGACAAAACAACAAGCCACUAGAGAAGCUUGUCACUUGCCGGGCGGUGGUGGCACACGCCUUUAAUCCCAGCACUCGGGAGGCAGAGGCAGGCAGAUCUUUGUAAGUUUGAGGCCAUUCUGGUCUACAGAGCAAGAUCCAGGAAAGGCAAAGCUAGCAAAGCUACACAGAGAAACCCUGUCUUGAAGAAAAAAAAAAAAAGAGAGAGAGAGAUAGAUAGAUAGAAGCUUGUCACCUCUACCGAAUCCUUAGGCCCAAAGGGAAGAUCCUGUCUCCACAAAUCCUCAGACUGAAUGCCCCUGAGUCCUCAGCUGAAAAGGCAAGAUCCUGUUUCCUCCCACCUUAUAUUCCUUUCUCUGCCUUGCCAUAUCACUUCCUGUCUUAACCUUCCUAGUGCUGGGAUUAAAGACAUGUGACUCCCAAGUACUGGGAUUAAAGGUGUGUAGCACCA
Peromyscus californicus insignis is the source of this 2634-nucleotide long non-coding RNA. RefSeq lists it as uncharacterized. The transcript has 2 exons. The record is from RefSeq and is a predicted model, not a curated record. Lineage: Eukaryota; Metazoa; Chordata; Mammalia; Rodentia; Cricetidae.